UACUCUUACAUGUUCUGUUACCAUGGA
RNAcentral lists this non-coding RNA (27 nucleotides) under Mus musculus (house mouse). The record is from RNAcentral. Lineage: Eukaryota; Metazoa; Chordata; Mammalia; Rodentia; Muridae.